GAAAACCAAGACCAAAACCAAAAAAGAGAAGGGAUGAAAGAUAAGAGUGGCUUCAAACGUGUAUGAAGCCAACCAAAUCCCUCCUCUCCCUUUCUCUCCACCCAAAACAAAACUACUGUCCCCAACUUCCCAAAUUGCCCCUCUGCAGGCCAGGAAACUCUCCACCUCCCUUCCAUCAAGGGGGAAGACUCGUAGCCAGCUCCUGUUCCCGUUUUACAUGGGGCCUUUGCUUCCUUUUGGUCAGCCUCCCGGGGGCCUUCCAUUGGCC
This 268-nucleotide long non-coding RNA is filed under the name Phoenix dactylifera (date palm). RNAcentral describes it as "long non-coding RNA (PDAC_LNC002139)". Lineage: Eukaryota; Viridiplantae; Streptophyta; Magnoliopsida; Arecales; Arecaceae. The record is from RNAcentral.